AAGUCGUAACAAGGUUUCCGUAGGUGAACCUGCGGAAGGAUCAUUAAAGAUUUUGUUUUUUGGGGUUUUCCCUGAAAAAUAAUUCACCUUUUGUGCAUUGUUAUUAGAUAUACUUUGGUUAGAGCUUUGAUUUCAUUUAAUGGAAUCAACUUCUUGCUGACUCUAUCCUAUUUAAAGGACAGUUGGCUAUGAAGCGGCCUACCAAGGUUUUUUAUCAAACUCUUGUAUUUUGUCUGACCUAAAUAUCAAUAAUUAAAUCAUAACUUUCAACAACGGAUCUCUUGGCUCUC
RNAcentral lists this unclassified non-coding RNA (290 nucleotides) under fungal sp. Its description in RNAcentral is "partial internal transcribed spacer region". The stretch from base 1 to 46 matches the Rfam family "Eukaryotic small subunit ribosomal RNA", at positions 1786 to 1831 of the family's 1831-position model. Lineage: Eukaryota; Fungi. The record is from RNAcentral.